UGAACUUACUUGGAGAUUGUAUGCGAAU
Molecule: small RNA, 28 nt
Filed under: Bombyx mori (domestic silkworm)
Lineage: Eukaryota; Metazoa; Arthropoda; Insecta; Lepidoptera; Bombycidae
Description: piRNA piR-bmo-2077116
Source: RNAcentral